GCAUAAAUCAAGUCCGCGGGGCAUGGAGGCUGCUGUCGCUGCAGCAGCUCAGCUUGCCCGGGGCGGGAACUCCCCCUUUCUCCUUUCGCCUCCCCAGCACCCACACCCUGUCUCCCCCUUAAUUCUUCCCUGGAUAAUAGCACCCUAACGACAACAGUCAUAAUAAUAGGGUUAGAACGACAGGGGAGGAAAACUCAACAGCCUAAAUAUCUCUGAAAACUGCAUCGCAAAAUGGAAGAAAGAGGGGGUCCCACUACUGUUUCAAAAGAGUAAGUUAUUAUUCGGAGCCAUGGAAGUCAAAUGCUGAGGAUGGUGGCAUCAUAGGAUGAAUGGAGCUGGGUUCUUGAAACACUGCCUGGAGGAAAGACAGCAAAAAUGCCUCAUGAAUCCAACUGGACUGUUAGGAUGCUCACCCUUGGAGACCAGCAACAAUGUGUGCAGAAACCCAGGCCAUGUGGAGAGGCCCCACAUACGUGUCCAACUGAGGUCCCAGCUGACAGCUGGCAUUGACAUAAUGUUCACUCUGGGGGAAGCCAGCUGCCACGCUGUAAGGACACUCGGGCAGUCCUAUGAAGAGGCCCGUGUGGUGAGAAAGAGAGGCCUCCAGCCAACAGCCAUAGAUGGGGUCUUGCUAUGUUUCCCAGUUGGAGUGCAGUGAUUAUUCACAGACAUGAUCCCACUACUGAUCAGCAUGGGAGUUUUCACCUGCUCCAUUUCCCACCUGGGAGGUCAUCAUAUUGAUGGCGAGCUAAGUGUGGACACCUGAUCAGCAUAGCACAGUACAGCCCAGAACCCCUGGGCUCCAGUGAUCCUCUUACUUCAGCCUCUUGAGUAGCUGGAACUACAGGCCUGCACCACUGCACCCGGCUAGUUUGUUUUUGUUAGAGUUUUGUCUCUAGGAUUUUCCUCAGCUGAGUAUGUGAAGGCUAACUUCUCCUUGUGAAUCUGCAAAUAUCCUUAUUUUACCCUUUAUUUUACCAUGUAUCAUUUACAGGUAAAUGAUAUCUUAGCUGUGUAUUGAAUUUCUGUUUUUUGUUUUUUCUUCAGUACUCUAUAAAUAUUACUCCAGUAUCUUCUAGCUUCUCCCAUUUUCUCCUAGUGAAUGGUUAUUCUGCUCUUAUCUAGCAGGUGAUAAAUCUGUCAACAGAUAGUUUUUCCUUUUUGUUUUAUGUGUAAGUUGUUAUUUCUUCCUUAAAGUUCAUAAUCUUUUCCCAUUUAUUCUCUAAAUUUUAGACUAUAACCAGGAUGUGUUUAGGUUGAUAUCUUUGCUUAUCUAUUCUGCCUGGAAAUCAGGAACCUCUUCCAAUAUUCAGACUUGUGUUUUCAGCUCAGAAUAAUUAUUUUAUCAUUUGUUUGAUUAUUCCUUUAGUUGCACUGGAUCUUAGUUAAAAUGCCCAUUCUGAUUCAAAGUAUCUGGAAGGCAAGUAUUUGUCAACUAAGGGAAAGGUGACCAUGCAUCAUUGGUUUUGCUGAGACUACCUGGUUUACACCUUCAGGCUUUAUACUUAGAAAAUAUUGCGAUCAUCUUCUGGUCAUGAAGUUACAAACUUCAGGACAAAGGCUAACCAGCUAAGACUAGCAGAGCAAAUUCCAAGAACUUGGGGCUUUAAUUAACUUGAAUUGAUUUGGACUUGCCCUACCUUUAACUUCACACUGAGAUAAAAAUUCCCCACAUUUUCAAGCCAUUUUUGAGAUGAGUCUCUUAUGGUUGAAAGCAUCCUAAUUUAUACAACAUCCUUUUGGUACCUAACUAAAUAUUCACCAAUAUUUGGCACAUUUGUUAAAUCUUUUGGUGUGUGCCUCUUCUAUGUAAUGUAAAUAUGGUCUGAAUAUCCAUUCAGAAAUUAUAGUUGAUUUGCAAAAAUAACUACUAUAUCACCUAUAUUAAUUGAUAGUUAUUCCUUCCCAACCUUCUUUCACUCUUCCAUAUAUAUACAGAGUAAAUCUACAUCAUUAUGUUGAUUAAACAAAAUAGCAGUGAAAUCAGGAUGUUACUGCUCAUUGUGCAUUUAUUUCAAUUAUGGAAAAAGCCAACACUUUACUCCCUUAUUUAACACUUCUGUAGAAAAGCAGUUGAAAUAACCUAGUGUCAUUCUAAAAUGAUUUGUAUACUAUGUAGACCAGAAUCUAGGGCUAUACCUAAAAAUACAUAAAUGAAAUUAUUCUAGAAGUUAAAUCUUCAUGAAAAAACAAAUUAAAUGGUUUACUAACCUCAAGCUGAUUAAAUGUUUUUAUUAAAUGCAGCCUCAGCCAGCACCUCUUUUCAUGGCUGCAAUAAUUAAGUAUAAUAAAUAUUCAAAUCAGUAAUUGAAUUUGUUAAAAAAAACAUGCUCAGCUCAGUGAAGACUUUCUAAUAAAUAGAAUUCAGGUACCAUAUUUUCAUACUUCAUGACACUUGCCUCAUCUUAGUUUGAUGACUGCCGUUUCUUGCACUGUAACAAGAUUUUAUUUUUAUUUUGUUUUACGCUAUUCAAACAAAUACAUUCAAAGUCAUAGGCUACACCUAUGUAUAACCAUAUUCUGAGAGUUGGCUUAUGUGUUUGUUUAUUUUCUCACAAUUAAAGAUAGGUCAGAUGUUGCCAAAUUAGUAAAUAACUAAACUUGAGAUGGGAAAUACUCUAGAGACACAAUCUGCUUAGUUUUGCAUAGUUUUGCAUAGUUUUAGUCACUUUUCCCGUUACUCUGUCCAGCUUUCCAGUAAUACUCAUAACAUUGCCUUGAUUUCAUAUGACCACGCAGUAAAGUGAUUACUGCACUUAGAAUUUUGUUGCUUUUGCUGUGCUAACAACUUAAAAGUUUAAAAUAACUGAUGUUCAAAACAGUGAAGAUUUCCUUUUAUAAACAAGUUGGAAAGGAAAGUUUUUAUGUUAUUAUCCUCAAGUAUUCUAACUAAUAUAAAAUGUCUUUCAGUCUUUUAGGCAAACCAUUUAGACAAAAAGUACAAAUAAUAAAUUUACAUUGUGUUAAGCUGC
Molecule: long non-coding RNA, 2972 nt
Filed under: Homo sapiens (human)
Lineage: Eukaryota; Metazoa; Chordata; Mammalia; Primates; Hominidae
Description: HSALNT0399556
Source: RNAcentral